This 29629-nucleotide long non-coding RNA is filed under the name Eucalyptus grandis. RNAcentral's name for it is "long non-coding RNA (EGRA_LNC001423)". Lineage: Eukaryota; Viridiplantae; Streptophyta; Magnoliopsida; Myrtales; Myrtaceae. The record is from RNAcentral.
AUAGGCAAUUCAACAUCUCUGUCUUGCCUUGACCUAACGGAAUGCCAUAAACUUGCUCAACUUCCAGACUCUAUAGGCUUCCUCGUGUAUCUACCACGGUUGUUAUUGUCGGGAUGCCACUCAUUGAGACAAAUCCCAGACUUGAUCGGAAAGUUGACAUCAUUGAUAGAGCUGCAUUUGAAAUCUACGGCCAUUGAAGAAUUACCUGAAUCCAUCGGUUCUUUGAAGGAGCUCAAGAUUCUAGAUGCCUCUUAUUGCAAAUCGUUAGCCCACAUACCCAACUCAAUAGGCAAUUUAACAUCUCUGUCUCACCUUGACCUAAAUGAAUGCCAAAAACUUGCUCAACUUCCAGACUCCAUAGGCUCCCUUGUGUGCUUGCCGCGGUUGUUAUUGUCGGGAUGCCACUUGUUGAAACAAAUUCCAGACUCGAUCGGAAAGUUGACAUCAUUGACUGAGCUACAUUUGAAAUGUACGGCCAUUGAAGAAUUACCUGAAUCUAUUGGUUCUUUGAAGGAGCUCAAGACUCUAGAUGCCUCUUAUUGCAAAUCGUUAGCCCAUAUACCCAACUCAAUAGGCAAUUUAACAUCUUUGUCUUCCCUUGACCUGAAUGAAUGCCAAAAACUUGCUCAACUUCCAGACUCCAUAGGCUCCCUCGUGUCCUUGUUGCGGUUGUUAUUAUCGGGAUGCCAUUCGUUGAAACAAAUUCCAGACUCGAUCGGAAAGUUGACAUUAUUGAUUGAGUUACAUUUGAAAUCUACGCCAUUGAAGAAUUACCUAAAAGCAUUAANNNNNNNNNNNNNNNNNNNNNNNNNNNNNNNNNNNNNNNNNNNNNNNNNNNNNNNNNNNNNNNNNNNNNNNNNNNNNNNNNNNNNNNNNNNNNNNNNNNNNNNNNNNNNNNNNNNNNNNNNNNNNNNNNNNNNNNNNNNNNNNNNNNNNNNNNNNNNNNNNNNNNNNNNNNNNNNNNNNNNNNNNNNNNNNNNNNNNNNNNNNNNNNNNNNNNNNNNNNNNNNNNNNNNNNNCAAUCCUGCAUUCCUGAAUUUUUCUCACUAAACUUUCUCAAGAGACUCACUCUUUCUAACUGGCUUAAAUGUCUCUCAAACCUUUCUAUAACAUGUUAUAGAAAAGCUAUGAAACUUGAUUUUGUAUCUUACAAAAGUUCGAGCUGUUAGUUGGGCAUUUUAUUUACCUUUUGUCUUGUGAUACAGUUCUCUUAAAGCGUUUCAAGACUCCUCCUGCCAACAACUUAGCCAUGGACUACCAAACAACAGAUGAACAUCCUUUGAAGAGAUCAAAACCUUUUGGAAUCUCAAAUGAAGUACUUAUUUCAUUUUGCUUUUUCUUUGCCGUUCUUCAGUUAUUAAAGGAUGGUUCCAUCUACAAAGAGAAGUAUUUUACUGAAUGAUCAAUUAUUUGUUAUGUGUGGAAUGCUUUGAUCAACAUUCGUAACUAGAUCCAUCAAACUUGUUACAUUCUCGCUAUUUUAAGUCUUUUGUUCUGGAAGUAGGGAUUUUAGUUUUCUUGAAUUAUGAAGUUAAGGUGGAAUAUAUUGCCCGUUCUCUUGUGUUUCUCUCUCUUAAUUAUCUUUAUUUGCACGCCAUUGAUCGAAAACUUUUUGAAAGCGCACUCAUUUGGGUGCUAUUGCGGCAUAUGAUCAUGCAUUGAGAAUCUUCACGAGUGUAGGGGUUAUCUCACAUCAGUUGUGGAAGGAAAAAGUAGUUAGUUUAUAAUUGUGAUGGAAAGUCUCAUCCUUUAAGUUAGCUUUUAAGAUGAGAUAAGCCCAAGACCACCCAACAAAAAAAAACUUUUAGUUUUGAGGUUUCUAGAUACCCUUAAUCUUCAUGAUGUUAACCUAAUGAAAUUAUUGAAGAUUGGAAGGAUAACAAGAAAGUUUGAUGGAGAGAGAAAGGAGCAAAAGGGCUAGGGUUGUCAAUUUGUGUCCUCUUGUCAUAAUUGUGUUUGUGAUUGUGUCAAUUCAUCAUGACUUCUAUUAGACAUGUCAACCCAUUGAAUUAGAUGAAAACAUGUAAAUAUCUCAUCAAGUUAAAUGUAUCGUGAUGUGUCAUAUUGGGUUGUGUUUGUGUUUUUCGUGUUUGGUAUUGUUAUGUAAACAGUAUGUGUCACUAUUGGCAGCAUUAAUGAGAAGCGUGGACUGGAUAGGUGUUGAUUAUGUCUCCUCCCAUCAUGCAUGCAUUGUGCUCACGUAUGCUAGUACAAGAGGGGCUCUCAUAUGAGUCUUUUGCAUCUUUUGAGUGCCAUGGUUUUGAUCAAUUUUCUAAAGGACUCAUUAGUUUUGUAAUCUUCAUGACUUUCUAAUAGGUGAAUAAUUUGCCGGGAAAGAUUUUUCCCAUUACAUACAACUACCAGAGCUUUGGUCAGAGUUCUUAUUCUUCAGAUGACUUGCCUAGAAAUGUAGUCGUUACCCUAAGUCAUGAUUCACUUGUUAAAAGUAUGGAUUUCCAUCCAGUGCAACAAAUUCUACUGCUCGGUUAGCACUUCUUUCUUACUCUAUGAAGAACUUGUUUCUUGAUCUUCUUUAGUUGGAUAUACUUGUUGGCCAUAAGUUUGUGUUUUGGUGCUUGGAAGAUUCCUGUUUGUUGUUUUUUAUGCUCGCUUCAGCUAUUUGAAACCAAGGGAUAUGAUUCUUCAAAUUUUCUGCAUCAAUAAUUUUUAGUGGGAACAAAUACGGGUGAUGUCAUGGUAUGGGAAGUAAGCAACCGUGCAAGGAUUGCUUUGAGAAAAUUCAAGGUUUGGAAUUUGGGAACACGUUCAAUGGCGUUGCAGGUAUAUAAGUUCCACUCUAAAUAAAGUCAUGUAUCUUGUUUUUGGACAUGUAAUUGGGGGUUUUGAUUCUUUGUAGGCUUCUCUAGCCAAUGACUAUACAGCAUCCAUUAAUCGUGUAACGUGGAGUCCUAAUGGACUUUAUUUUGGUAUGUACAGAUGUCACUUCUACUUGUCUUAUUGCAAAUUGAUGAAACAACUAACGCGCUGAGAAUGAGACUUCAUUGCAAUAUUUUCAGGAAAAAUGUUCAUAUGCUGCUAUUACUGAUGAUUUGUGGUGUUCACUUUAGGUGUUGCUUAUUCCAAACACAUGGUGCACAUAUACUCGUAUUACGGUGGUGAUGACAUGAGGAACCACCUUGAGGUUUGUUGCUAAACAAGGAGUGAAAAAAUUCGGCUUCUUUUUGUAGACAAUUGCCACAUAAAAGUGAGUAAAACUUGAUUUUGACUCUAAACUAAUGUUUGAUACAGCUCGAGGCUCAUGCUGGAAGUGUUAAUGAUCUUGCCUUUUCAUAUCCAAACAAAUGGUUAUGCGUUGUGACCUGUGGAGAGGACAGGUCAAUCAAGGUAUAUCUUGAUUAUUUUCCUCAGUGUUGCAGCGUUCCAUCGUUUGAUCCCUUAACUAAGCUAGUAGUUUUGUAGGUAUGGGAUGUAAUGACUGGGGCUAAGCAAUACUGUUUCAAGGGUCAUGAAGCACCUGUAUAUUCUAUUUGUCCACACCAUAAAGAAAAUAUCCAGGUACUUGAUUAUUUCACGUACUAACAAAGACACCCUGCGAGCAUGGCCAAUCAGAUGUACCCUUGACUAUACACUAGACUUUUGUUUUCUAAAACUCAGUUAGGUAAAAAAAAAAUUGGUUCAAUUUGUAUGAGGAGUAUGAACCUAUGUUUUGAAGGACCUUGUUCAUUUCAAGGGUUUUGCAAGUCUUCCGACUUUUAACCUGUCUUGAUUAGAAUGUGCUUGUCAAACAUGGUGAAAUUGGUCCAAAGAUCAACCUACUAAUUUGAUUCUUUCAAGUAAUGCUACUAAGCAUCGACAACUAGGUAAAGGUCUUUGCAAUAAUGACUUCCUGCUUAAUUAUAUAUUCAAAAAGAAAAUUCCUCUACUACCAUUGAUUGUUCUCCCUUAGUUUUCUCUUUUAGUCACGAUUGGUUAAAUUUAUAAUAGAAGGCUGUUUAUUGUGUUUGAGUGGAGCAGCAAUUGGCAAUGUUAUCUUCUUCUUCUUCUUCUUUUUAAACAUUUAUGGUUGUGCAUAGUGUACACUUUAUUACAAAGAUGUCUUAUGAAAUCUCAUCAUUCUAGGAUGCUAUGUUUAAAUAAUUAUAGUUUAAGUGGAUGUGCUCUAUUUGGGCAUGUUACUGAAAUUGGUUAUACAAUUGUUUUAUCGUGUAGUUCAUCUUCUCAAUAGCAACAGAUGGGAAAAUUAAGGCUUGGCUUUAUGACAACAUAGGGUCAAGAAUUGACAACGAUGCACCGGGUCACUCUUCUACCGUGAUGGCAUACAACGCCGAUGGAAAAAGGUUUAGACCAUCAGCAUUGUAUAUCAAGCUUGAUUUCAUCCCGAGUCUUUCUUUUUCACUGAAAUAACCUAUUUUAGCGAUUUUAAUUUGCUAUAGGUUGUUCUCGUGUGGGACCAAUAAAGAAGGAGAGUCAUACUUGGUUGAAUGGAAUGAAAGUGAGGGGGGUAUCAAGCGUACAUAUCAUGGACUUGGAAAGAGUUCUAGUGGGGUUGUGCAGUUUGAUACCAUCAAAAAUAGAUUUUUGGCUACUGGUGACGAGUUCAUUAACAAAUUUUGGGAUAUGAACAAUGAUAGCCUACUUACAAGUACCGAUGCUGAUGGUGGAUUGCUGGUAAUUCACUGUUGUUAAUUUAUUUUGACUGAAUUAACUGAAACUUUCUAUUAAUUACCUCACUCUUUAAAUUUGCAGGCUUCACCUUGUAUUAGAUUUAACAAGGAAGGAAUCCUGUUAGCCGUCUCAACAAGUGAUAAUAGCAUCAAAAUUCUAGCAAAUUCAUUUGGGAUUGAGCUGCUAAGGACUGCAGAAAAACAUAUGCUUCUAGAGUCACUGCUAGGAGUCUUUUGAAGGUAAGCUUUUUUAACAAUACACUAACUUUAUGUAAAGAAGUCACUACUAGUCCAUUGUGGUCGGCUAAAACCCAAGGACUUGAUUACACUAGUUAUUUAAUUAAUGCUCUUUCAGUACCUAGACUUGAUUUAACUAAGUGUCCAUGCAGUCUUGGACCCUUUUAUUGACCUAUGCCACUUAAUUGGUGUCCAUGCAUGAGUGCACAAUAAAGGAAAAGUAAACAAUCAUUAUUAAUUCAACAAAAGUAAAGUAUAAGAAAAUACACCUAAUGAAGUGCCAAGCGAAGAAUACACAUGGCUUUGUUUUUAAGCCUCAAGACAACAACCUUGUAAGCUAAAUUCAAAUUAAGUCCAAUUCCUUUUCUCAAACACUAUUCUAUGUAACCUCACCUAAAUCAAAGGCACUCAUUAAAAUCUCUAAACCAUAUGUAGAGUAACUAAAACUAGAAGAAACUAAGCUACAUCUAGCACUAAAACUUAACGACCUAAUCAAGGUCUUUGUUAUUAACCAUUUUCCAAUUUUUCAUAUUUUCGAUUUUUUUUGAAAAUUUAAUUUUAAUUAUUUUCUGAAAAUAGGAAAUCGGGCCGGGCCCUUGGGCCUGGUCCGGAUAUGAGCCUCAUACUGGUCUCACGAAUCUGGGCUAAUGGACAAAAUUCGGGCUAUUAUAUCCAGAUCCAUCCAAUUCUAACUCUACUGAGCCCAAUUCAGAUUAUACCUAUUUUAAGCCCAUUUACCCAUGGAAGCUACUCUAGCUCACUUUCUCAUCUAACUGCACCAAGUCCAUCUUUAAGCCCAAUUUCUAUUACAAAUAGAUUAAACCCUAAGCCCACGCCAACCCUAUCUUACUAUUAUUAUUUUUAAUCCAUUUUUUCCUCUUUUCUUACAUCUUUCGUCAUUUUUUAUUAUUAUAAAAGUAAUCAAUGUUAGGUGUGCGAAGAGCCCCCCCUUUUUUUUAAGAGACUACCUGGUAAACUUUCCUGCAGUAACUUAAGCUAUAAAGGAUGGGUGAUGUAGCUUUUGUAAGGUCUUUGACAAAUAUUUCACAACUUUUUAGGAAAUUGCUUCGCCCGAUUUUGGGAUGUUGGAGCUGCUGUCGACGGCAUUGGGAAACAAUUUGGUAAAAGAAGUUGAAUUAACCUUCCAGCAAAGAAUUAUAAAGUGGAGAUGGUCAAUGGCAUUGGGAAACAAUUUGGUAAAAGAAGUAUUUCUAAGAGGUAUAAUAAGUCAGAACUCAACAAAAACGUCAGUGGAAGUGUUCAAUCAUGAAGAAGAAGAAGAAGCAAAACACCAUUCACUAAGGGAUAACUCGUGCACGCAGAAGGGAGGAAGCAGGGGAAAAUGGCUCCAUCUUCCAUCGUCUCCAGUCACCAUUGGAUAACCUUUCGUCGCGGUGUCUCAAGUUCCGAUAUAGCCGCUAGCUACCAUCGCCGUUCAUUACGAGUUCCAACUCCUUCGUUGGUUGCGCCGUCGACCAUCAGUCUCAGGAGGAUCACGUUUGUUCAUUUCAUCGCGAGCACCAUUCCAGAACCAAAACAAACAAAAACAUCGAGCAAGGAAAAUUCAUCUAAAAAAAGCGAUUCCGUUCGAUUCAGUUGGCGAUUUCAAGCGUUCUGAAUCGAUCACAGUGGCCGUCGCCGGCAUCAACAGCCUCUUCAAUGCCGCGACUCAUCUCCUUCGUUUCCCUUCAACGGCCGAGAGCUUCGAAAUGUUGUCGUUCCGCUCGAAGCUUCUCCACCUGUUCAGGUUUCGAUCAUCGACACGUUCUAGAGCUUCUUUCAGCGAUUCGUGCGCCAAACCGCGGCCUCAGUCCACUUGAUUAAGCAGGUAGCAUCUCCUGUUCUGUUGUCACGAGUAAGAGGCCGAGAGUCUGAUUCUCUUAUUAUGAUGAAAUUGAUCAUAUUUGAAUUUUUUUCUUUGACUUCGAACAUCAUGUACUGAUUUAGGUUGAGUCUAGUUGUAAAUUCGAGUUCGAAAUGGCUUUGAUAUGUUCCACAACCGAUUGACCAUAAUCUGUUCGAUGAAAUGUGUCUGAGACCCUGUUGUGAAUUGAUUCCAGUAAUCGUCCGAUCUGAAAAAGCGCAUUAGUGAUGUUCACUUGAUAUUGUUUGAUUUUUCAAUCUUUAGACAUGAUUACGAGUAUAUGCCAUAGUUGCCAAGAAUAAAACUGACUCUCCGCAUGUUUUCUCAGUGCUUCUUGUGAUCCUUUGGUGAUAGGUGGUGGUUGCCGGCAAGGGGAGAUGGAAUGGAGUCGCUGGCACAUGCAUUAGUCUUUGGUGAUGAUCGUAGCAUGCCCUGUUGAACAGAAUCGAGACGAUGUCGCUGAGCGUUAAUCGCCAAUUCAGAUAAUGAACUGCGGCCGACACAUGUUGCGGUCACUAACGGGAGCAAUGUUAUGCCUAGUCACUAUCCGCGUCCUUGCCACUGAGUCACCGUGCAAUCUCCUCGACUGCCAAGCUUUGCUUCAGUCCAUGCCUUGCAGACCAUCCUUGCCAUUGCAAUUGCUGUGCCACACCUUACCAUAAUGGCUAUUCAAGUGAACUCCGCAUGCGAUAGCACUGCCAUCAGAAUAAACCGCCAUACAUUACCAUUAUGGAUUGAUGUGGCAAUAGAGCUAUAUCCAUCACGUGUCUUUACAAUCGGUUGUUUCCGUUCCAACUGAGUUUUAGAGUCCAUUGUAUGUUCAGAUUUCCUUCGCUGCUUUGUUUUAAUGUUCAGGAUUUUGCGAGUCUUCUUAAACCGAAUCAUGGGAAAACUAAAUGGUUCGAAGUCCAGUCGUCAUGGGGUCGAUACUUUGUUGUAAAAUCAUUGUGCAUUACCUGCUUCCUGAUUCUUGUCUUGUCCUUUGGUUAUUGGUUACUUCACCUUCGUUGAUUUCAUUGUCCGGAAGUAGGUAAUCAAUCCAAGAGCACCUGCUAAAAUUGCAUUUUAGUUGUGUCAUCUGCUUCCUGCCUCAUUCUCUGUGAAUGACAUUCUACUUCUUGCGUGCUGUUGAGGGAAAUCAAUGGUUGACAAUCGAUAUGAAGUGAGCAAGUUAUACUUGUUUCCUGUCUUUAGUUGAUAACUUUUUGCGUAUGACAAUCGAUUAAUUAAACCAGUCCAUAGCUUGCACGAAAAUAGUAAAUGAGGAUUUACUUCUUUCUUGGAAUUAUCAAUGUCAUCGCUUUGUCUCUGGUAGUGGAAGAGUUUAUCAUUCUUUUUGAACUUUUUGAACUUGUAUAAGAAUCAAUGGAAUUCUCAUGGAGCAUUGAGUACCCAAAAUUUACAAGUUAUAUGAAGUGGUGGUGUCCUUUUGUUGCAUAUGCUGGAGUUUAGCGGUUAGUGUUCAUCUAUGUUUGUUGAACCGUUUGAUUUAUCACUUCAAUCGACAAAAUCUCAUAAACAGACAUGACAAUUGCGAGAGACGUCUUUGAACUGGCACUUUGGUGAUGAUGGUGCUCCUUCGUGUCGACUGUAUUUACUUGUUUGAGGAAGAAUCAUUUAUGAUAUUUUAUGAUAUUGGAGAAGUGAAUAUGUAUGGAAGGUUCCUUGGAUUCACAAGAAUAAAACCACUCGUGAUCCUGGAUCCACUCAUUGAAGAAAUGGAGAGAGAGAAUUUCCACAUGGACGAUGUGAAUGGGUCGUUGCUAAGCUUCUCGGCUGUUUGUUGAAUUUGAUUUGCAUAAUGGGUUGAAGCUAGCAUUUUAGUAGUGCUGGAAUUCCAAAACUGAGACGAACUGAAGAAUUUGAUGUUAAGUAUCUAAGCAAUGCCCACAAUUAGUAACAUGUUCUGAGCUAAUCAAGGUUUGUCAUCUGAGUAUAUCGCCAAGUAGUGCAUAACUUAGUCCUUUUUAGAGUAAUGCAUCAUUUAGUUAGAAAUUCGAGCAUGUUUAGAUUAGUACUUAGCUCAUGUGGGUUACUGUCUCGGGCUUAGCUCGAGAAUUCCAGCACAUUAUGACUGGAUGUAUAACCUUCCACAUCAUACAAAACCACAUAUCAGACGAACCCAAAGAUUUUCCGUUGUUCCACAAAUUAAGCAGGCUGGCACUUUAUCUUGCUGCUGGCAUAGUCGGCAAACCUGAUAAAGAACAGAACCAAAAUCUUAUUCACAAUCAGUUCAAAGAUGGGCACCCCUGAUGAUGUCGCAGUACGUAACCACAUUUCCGAUAAAGUUAAUCCUUGCAGUCAAUCAAGUAUGUGCCAUACUUGAAAUCUUUAGCAAUGUAAUUGAACCUUCCAAGAAAAUCAAAGGAAGACCCUUGGCACGGCACCAGCCUGGGGUAAUGUUGUAUUGACUUAUUUUAAACAUAAAGAUUGAAGAAUCAAGCGAAUGUGCACAUGUCCAUCAACGUAUGUCUUACAGGGCAUUUUUUUCAUCUUCAUAUAUAUAUUCGAGUUCAAAGGUACAUUUUUGCUACAAAUUCAUGUGGAUAGAGCGCAAUCACAAUUAAGUAGAAUAUCACUUGAAAUGUAAAAUAUAACCAUGCACCAUCUUAAUUAAGAGCCUGGAGAAGUUUAAGGUGAGGUGAGUAUAUAAGUUUAACACAUAAACUCAAUAUUUUAUGUUUGGACAGUGCUAUUACUUUCGUCACCAUUUGACUCACAAGAAAUAUGACGUAGAAGUGACAGGACCAUCAAAUCUAAUAACCAUGAUGAGACACUGCAAAUAUUCUCAUGUGAGAGUAUGAGAAACAACAGAAAAACAAGUCCAAGAAGCCACACAUUGACAUAUUCCAAAUCACCAAAGAAAUGUCAUAAUAAUUUAAAAAGAAAUCCAAAACUUUGUAAGCAAGAUAGAGUAAAGAUCUAACAUAAGCCUGAAUGAAAAAAAAAAGAUUUUUUUUUUUAUAUACUUUUCAUCCCUGUACUGCCACCUUUUUAUGUAAUUAUGUCCAUAUACCUUAAACUUGUCGAAUCAAGUCUUUCUAUAUUUACAAAUUUACUAAUCAAGACCCAACCAAAUUUAAUUGACGUAACCCUCGAAUGAUGCCCCAAUAUGAUGCAAAUGCUCACGUAGACAUAUGUGGAAAAAUUUAGCCAAUGUAGACAAUGUUAGAAUGUGACAUGGAUAAAAUUUAGCUAAGGUGUUAGUCAAAGUAACGUCCAUAUUGGAGAUUUUUUUAUCUAUGUCACACACUGACAUCAUUUGAUGAUUACGCCAACUGGAUCUGGCAGGAUUUUGUGUUUAUUGGGAUUUGAUUAGAAAAAUUUGUUAAAUUUGAAUGACUUGACUCGACAAAAUAAAAGUACGAUGGAGAGAACAGUAAAGUAGGGAAUAUUUCAAAAAACCAACCGCAAAUCCAGUCAGCAAAUAUCAGCAAAAGAUAGUGGCAGUUGCUGAGAAAUUAUGGUCUAAACUACUCUUAUCUGCACCAGCAAAAGAAAGCCUCACCUGACAAGACAACUAAGUCUAUUUUGUACCACAUGAGCAAUGAAUGGAAUGGUCACUCUUGAGUACUCAAAAUUCCGCUGGUGUGUGGGUCCGAUCUCAACGACAUCAAAAGCCAAGAAAAGGUCGCGACUGUGAACAUGUCUAUAAACUUAGUCUCAUUUUAUCAUAUGCUUUGACAGGGAACAAAAUUUCUAAGCCAAACUAGCAGCUGUGAGGGAAAUAUAUUCAGCAAGGGAUGUUGACACCUAAAAUUUGAUGAUCUAGUUAAUUAUUCAUUGCAAAAAUUAAGUAAAAUUGAGGAUUGAUCCCGGUCCCUAAAAAGAUAUUAGCUAAGUUGCAUAUACAUAUUAGAAGCAUUUUUCAUUCAUUAAAUAGUAAGCCCACAUAUGAUUACACUUCGAUUGGACUGGUGUAAGGAGAUUAUGAGCUUAAUUGAGUUUAUUAGACUAAGCCCAUGAGAAUGAGAAAUUCGGCCUAACCCGUCUAUUUCCUUUGCUCGACCAGACAUCAAAUAUGCAGUAUAAGGAAUUUAGCACGAAUGAAGGAGCAAAUAUUCGUUAUUAAGGAAUAUAUUCUGAAUAAUUUUUUGGGAGAAUUAACUGGCCAAUUCUUUCCAUUAUUAAAGAUGCGCAUCAUGCUUAAAGUAGGCAAGUUAAUUUUUCUUAGUCAAAUCUGGAAGUAAUUGAACACUAUUUGAAAGGAUAAAAACAAAAAUAGAAAAAUAAAAAGGAAUAAAACAGGGAAAAAGUACAAAAAAAGUCAUAAACUAUUGCAUCGAUAUCAAUUCAAUUCUAAAAUUUUCAAUUAAAUCAAUUAAAUCAUAAAUUUUUUCACAUUGGUACUAAUUUAGUCAAUUUGACCAAUUUUGGUCGGCUAGUGGCCAGAUGUUGACGUAGCAAUUUUUAAAUAAUUUUUUUGAAUUUUUUUAUUAAUUUUUCCUUCUUCUUUUUUUCCCUUUUCCUUUUCUCUCUUCUUCCACCUUAAACUAUACUCACGGUGGCCAGCAAACCUUUGGUGAGGCUCGCCAACCAUUGGGCGAGGGCCGUGAAGCCCUUGUCGGCCGCUAGUGAGGGUCGUGGCCUUCGCUUAGCCUUGCCCAAGGCCGCGAGCGAGGCUACUUUGCCUAGGUCCAGGUGAGACCAGCCUCGCCCUAGCCUUGCCUUAGGCGAAGGCGGCCUCGCCCGUGGUUGGCAAGGCCAUGGCGGCCAUCGCCAAGGCCUAAGCAAAGGUCACCAUGUCCUCACCUGCAGCCCCGGGCGAGGGUGUGACCCUCCCUGGCAACUGGCCAGUGCUUCGCGGCCCUUGCCUAGUGGUUGGCGAGCCUUGUGGGAGGCUUGCUGACCACCGCGAGUAUAGUUCAAGGAGGAAGAAGAGAGAAAAGAAAAGGAAAAAGGAAAAGGGAAAAAAGGAAAAAGAAAAGGAAAGGAAAAGGAAUUAUUAUAAAAGAUUAAAAAAAUUAUUAAAAAUUGUCACAUCAUUGUCUGGUUAGCGUCCACAUCAGUGUCGGCUUGCCAAAAUUAGCCAGAUGGAAUGAAUUGGUACCAAUAUGAAAAUGUUUAAGACUAAAUUGAUUCAAAUGAAAAAGUUUAGGACUAAAUUGGUACAAAUGCAAUAAGUUUAUGAUUUUUUUGGUACUUUUCCCAAGAAAAUGGUGAAGAAAGAAAGAGAAUGAAGGAGCAGAGGACGCCGACAAAGAGGAAGAGGAGGGAGCGAAGCCAAUGGUAGCGUGGGAGGAGCUAGGGUUGGAGGCGGCGGCGGUGACGAAAGGGAGGGGGUGAAGGAGAAGGAGAGAGGGGAGGAGGAGUUAGGGUUUACGGUCACAAGCAAAGAAAGAAAAGAGAAAACAAGAAAAAAGAAAGGAAAAGAGAAAACAAGAAAAAGAAAAAAAGAGAGAAAGAAAUAAGAAAAAAAAUAUAAUAUUAACAAAUUCAAAAUUUUUAGUUAGUAAAAUUUUUAGGAAUAAAUUUUUCAUUAUCUAAGGACUUUAAAACAUUUUGGAAAAUGUUUUCCAAUUCUUUCAAAUAGAAAUCGUUUUUAUGAAUUUAAGCUUUGGAGGGAAAACCUAUUCUAUUGAUUAGGAAAAUAGUUUAUGUUAACUUAUUUUCCUAAGUGAAUCAAACACUGGUAAAUGAGGAAAACGCUUAUUUAGGAAAUUGUUUUUCGCAAAACAAACACACCCUUCACUGUGUUCCCAAACACCUAGGGAGCUAUAGGACAUUAGUGUUCGCCGACACAUUUUCUAGGAUUGCCUUUUCCACAUUUUAUUUUUCAAAUUUCCAUGUUCUUUAACAAUAUUUCGGAAAAUGAAUGAUACAUGGGGGGAAAUUAGGAAUUCAACAUGAAACGUUGCAAACUAUUAAUUUGGAGGAGAGAGAUAAAAAUGAUUAGAUGGAGUGUAAAGACUGGAUAAUCUUUAAAUAUGAUGCAGCAUGGAGAAAUCUAAUUUGAGAAAAUUAUUUCGAAAGAGAUUUAUUUUGAGAGCUACUUUCUCGGUCAAAUCUCUUUUGAAAAAAGUAAUGCGUCCCGCACACUUUUAAUAACAAUAUCCUAUAUAAUCCCACGAUUGAUAUGCUUUUGUUAUCGACUCAUGUUCAUUAGCAGCUUCGACCAAAAAAAUGAAGAAGAAGAAAAAAAAAUGUACAUUAGCAACAGGAGAAGGUGAUUGUCGGUAACCACUGGGAGUUCGCCCCAAUGACCACUCUUCCAACUUGGAAGGGGGAUGUUGGGAGUUCAAAUUCCUAACUUCGCGGGGGGAUUGGGGUGGGGAUGAUUUCAUUUCAAGAAUGGAUUUCGACUCCCACGUCCUGCAAUGAGGCAGGGCAAAAGUCUGAAAGUGAGUGUUAGAGUAAGAUUAUAGUAGGAUCGAAAAAAAGAAAAAAGAUGACUGUUGGUCGUUAGUUGUCUUUUUCUAUUCUGUCUAGUAAUACAAAAGGCUAGCCAAGUCAGACAAUGCUGGAGGAUCUCAAAUCUCAAUGAAAGCACAUGCAUGCACCAUCCUCGUAUAAUGCUGAGGAUCGGCGGAGAUCACAGCUGGCGCACGUGAGUAUUGCUCGUUGGUUCUCUUUUCUAUUUUCUUUCGUUAAUAUCGAAAGGCAAGUCAAGUCAAUCCGUACUGGAUCUCAAAUUUUGAUCAAAGCACCAGGCACGUGAUUGCAUGUGAGUAAUUGCUCGUUGGGUUCCGCACACAUUCCGCAAGAUGCUGCGGAAACUUCGCGUGCAAUGACUGUUCUUUCCGCGGCAUGUUUCGCUGCGGUUCGAUUAGCAUGAAGAGACUUCGACCGUUGGAUAGCUAGGCCCCAACAUUAUAUGCUUUGCACAAAUAGCCCCGGUCGAUCUUUUCAUGCGUCAACAAUUUUUAUCUAAUUAAUUUGACUAACCCAUAUAUAUAUAUAUAUAUAUCCGGAUGGAGAGGAAAUCCUAUUCAGGUAGAUAAAUUUCCACCGUAUAAUUCUAAUAAUGGAAAUUUGGUUCAUUCACUCUAAAUAUUUUGCCUUCCAUACCCAAAAUUUAGGACCUCACUAAUUUCAUCCUUUGCACUUCUAUAUCCUCAAGAAACUUUGAGCCUGCAUACAUCUUUUCUCUUGACAAUGUAAAUGGUUUAUAAAAUUUUUUUAGCCCUGAUUACAUCCUAGAUUGCAGUUUGUUUUAGGGAGGGUUUUAUCCGUUGAGCACACGCACUGAUUAGUAAAAGCAUCGCCAGGAGAAAAAAAUGAACUUUAUGGUUCUUCCCUAAACUUUAAUUUGCUUUCUCUUCGCUAGUUAAUCUUUCCUAUGUGCAUAUACUUGCUUCGUUCUUCCAUAACGAAACAUGUAAUUGGUAAAUUGUCGAACUUGUGAACUACAAUAUCCACUAUUUUAUCAAGUCUCAUUUUUUUUUUCCAUUUUUAAUUUGAGGUAGUACAUUAAACAUGCUAACAAAAUAGAAUCUAAAUAGGAAACAAAAAUAAAAAUAAAACAAUUGGCUAUGGUGCAAUAUUAUAUAGCAAUAUAAUUGGUCUAGGUCGUGAUAUUGUAGUGUAGUUGGUUUAUAAUAUCCAAUCACUAAUGACAAACGACUAUAACAAGUACAUAGAUCUUUUUCUUUUCCAUUUUUUUAAUUGAUAUGAGAAGGAAAAUAUAUUUAUAGGAUUAUAAAUAUUAAGAGAGAGAAUAGAUCUUGCAUUGCCAACAAAGCAACAUGGCAAAAAAGUUGUAUAAUACCUUAAGAUUGCUUCAUUUGCAGUACCUUUAUUAAAGAUAUAUAAAGUUGUAUAAUACCAAUGGCUAAGAUAUUAAGUGUAAUACUCAAAUAUAACCUUGUUUAAGAGAUAAUGACGACAAAGACAGCGAUAAAUAUGCCCUAUCCAAUAAGUAACUCACCGAUAAAAUACGAUAAAACCCAACUCGCCCUCGAGUGCUGUCGGAAUAUUAUUGCAAAUACAUCCAUGAAGCCAUCGAUAGAAGACACGUACUUGCAAAUACAUCCAUGGUCCAUAUUUGAAAUUCAGCACUCAAAAUUUUUAGUGAUUAUUUUUCAGUUUUAUCUUAACGGCACGUACUCGCAGCUUAUUUUUCACAAACGAAUUUAAGUUCAGCAUUGGCAAAAAAAAAAAAAAAAAAAAACAAGUUGAGUCGAGUUGAAAGUCGAGUUAUAGUACAUAAGCUUUGACUCAAAAUUACCAGUGCAAUCGUUUACUUUAAGUAGUUAGAGUACAAUGUUGAAUAUAUUUUGUCUUAACAGUUCAUUUGGUUUAACUUCUAGCUUUUUCUUGACGAUAAAGCAAGAAUUAGGUACAUAAAUUCACAAAUCAAUAAAUAAUCCACUAAUGCAAAGGAUCACACAAGACACAGGUCCCUAGUUAUGAAACCAUUUUAUGCUUACAAACGCGAGGAACCAAACACACGUCAUGUAUCUAGUUUCCAUACACUAAUUUUUGCUUUCCUUUCUCUUGCAACUCACACAGUUGAACUUUUGUUUAACAUAAAUAACUUAAAAGAUUCAAAAUGUGUAAAUACAGUCACGUAGAUAAUUAUACAAAUCUUUUUGUAAUUAACUUAAAUUAUAUAUUAAUUUUUUAAAUGUUAAACAUUUAUUAUGUUAUACCAAAAUUAUCUUGAAAGAGGUAAUACACCAGGCCAAAGUAAGGAGCCACCUCAGUUACCGUCGAGUCCACGUCCGUGUGGCCAUGCAGCGUUGUCGUCGAGGUCCGAGGGGCGAUGGAUAUUCCUGUCUCCUUUUUCAAAAGCCGAAGUAAUCACUCCGAAAGUCCAACCCCCAUGUCGCCUCGGUUGGGAAGUACACAGGAACUCGCUCGGUCCGCGCGCCACGUGAGGUCGAGGGGCAAGUCGGAGUGGCAGAAGAUAUCCUCGAGGUCCGAGGCGGGGACCCCGCUUAGGCUUCGGUUUCAGAGCAGCUGACCGUCGUAGCGGUCAAACAAGUACGUGCCGCACUUGAAAUCUCUAGCAACGUAAUUGAACCUUGCAAUAAAAUCAAAGGAAGAACCUCGGCGCAUCACCAGCAUAGGAGACCACCAUAUUGACUUCAUUUAAAAAGAAAGAACGACGAAUCAAGCAAAAGUUAGUAUGUACAUAUCCAUCUAUGCAUCUCUUACGGGGCGCUUUUUCAUCUUUUAAUAUAGACUCGAGUUCAAAGGUAAUUUUUUGCUACAAAUUCACAUGAAAAUAGCAUAAUUACAAUCAGUAGAAUAUCACUUGAAAUGUAAAAUAUGACCAUGCACCAUCUUAUCUAAGAGCCAAGUUUGAGAAAAGACUACCAAAAACCCUAAACUUUACCAAAAGUGACAAAUUUAUCUCAAACUUUUUUUGUGACGUGAAAAACCUAAAACUUUUCAAAUUGUAACACAUUUACCCAAUCAAGGGCAUUUUUGUCUUAUUUUUUCUCUUUUUUUUUUCUUCUUCUUCCCUCUACUGGCUAUGGUGGAGGGAAGCUGGCAUCCCGGCGAGGGCUGCCCUUAUCGACGUUGGGCUAGCUCAUGCGAGGGUCGUCUCGCCCUGGGGCUUGGCUANNNNNNNNNNNNNNNNNNNNNNNNNNNNNNNNNNNNNNNNNNNNNNNNNNNNNNNNNNNNNNNNNNNNNNNNNNNNNNNNNNNNNNNNNNNNNNNNNNNNNNNNNNNNNNNNNNNNNNNNNNNNNNNNNNNNNNNNNNNNNNNNNNNNNNNNNNNNNNNNNNNNNNNNNNNNNNNNNNNNNNNNNNNNNNNNNNNNNNNNNNNNNNNNNNNNNNNNNNNNNNNNNNNNNNNNNNNNNNNNNNNNNNNNNNNNNNNNNNNNNNNNNNNNNNNNNNNNNNNNNNNNNNNNNNNNNNNNNNNNNNNNNNNNNNNNNNNNNNNNNNNNNNNNNNNNNNNNNNNNNNNNNNNNNNNNNNNNNNNNNNNNNNNNNNNNNNNNNNNNNNNNNNNNNNNNNNNNNNNNNNNNNNNNNNNNNNNNNNNNNNNNNNNNNNNNNNNNNNNNNNNNNNNNNNNNNNNNNNNNNNNNNNNNNNNNNNNNNNNNNNNNNNNNNNNNNNNNNNNNNNNNNNNNNNNNNNNNNNNNNNNNNNNNNNNNNNNNNNNNNNNNNNNNNNNNNNNNNNNNNNNNNNNNNNNNNNNNNNNNNNNNNNNNNNNNNNNNNNNNNNNNNNNNNNNNNNNNNNNNNNNNNNNNNNNNNNNNNNNNNNNNNNNNNNNNNNNNNNNNNNNNNNNNNNNNNNNNNNNNNNNNNNNNNNNNNNNNNNNNNNNNNNNNNNNNNNNNNNNNNNNNNNNNNNNNNNNNNNNNNNNNNNNNNNNNNNNNNNNNNNNNNNNNNNNNNNNNNNNNNNNNNNNNNNNNNNNNNNNNNNNNNNNNNNNNNNNNNNNNNNNNNUGGCUUCCUUUCACGGAUUCCGCCAUGGCCGGCAGGGGGAAGAGAGAAGAAAAAAAAAAAGAAAAAGAAAAGUAAAAAGACCAAAAUGCCCUUUAGUUUAUGAUAAAUGUGUCACACGACAGAAGUUUAGGAUUUUUUAUAUCACAAAAGAAAGUUUGGGAUAAAUGUGUCACGGUUGGCAAAAUUCAUGAUUUUUAAAAUCACAAAAAAAAGUUUGGGGGUAAAUCUGUCACUUUGGACAAAGUUUAGGGUUUUUCGUGAUUUUUUCCAGCCAAGUUUAAGGUCUAAGAUCAGCAUUUUGAUAUCAUUACGAUCAUCUUAUAAGCAGUAAGCAUUCAAGUAGCAUUCAAGUAGCAUUCAAGUUUAAUACAUAAACUUGAUAUUUUAUGUUUGGACAUUGCUAUUACUUUUUUUUUUUUGGUAAGGUAACAUUGCUAUUACUUUUGUCACUAUUUGACUCACAAGAAAUUUAACAUAGGGAAAUUUAACAUAGGAGUGAUAGGACCAUUAGCCCUAAUAACCAUGAUGAGACACUGCAAAUAUUCUUGUGUCAGAGUAUGAGAAACAACAUAAAAAUAAGUCCAAGAAGCCACACUUUUGACCUAUUCCAAAUCACCAGAGAAAUAUCAUAAUUAAUUAAAAGAAAUCCAGAGCUUUGUAAGCACGGUGAAGUAAAGAUCCAGCAUAAGCCUGAAAGACAAAAUUAAGUUUUUUUUGGGUACUUUCAUCCCUAUACUUUCACUUUUUUCUCUCAUUAUGUCCCCAUACCUUAAACUUUUCUAAUCAAUUUAUUUUGCUUUCACAAAUUUCCUAAUCAAGACCCAACCAACCUUAGCUUAUGUAACCGUCAAAUAAUGCCCCAGUACGAUGCGGAUAACUUAUGUGGAUGCCCACGUAGUCAUGUAUGGAAAAAUUUAUCCAAUAUAGACAAUGUCAGAACGUGACAUGGAUAAAAUUUAGUUAAGGUGUAUGCCAAAGUAUAUGUCUAUAUUGGAAAAUUUUUGUUUACGUCACACAACAAUAUCAGUUGACAGUAAUGCCAGCUGGAUUUGGUCGAGUUUUGUGUUAGAGGGAUUUGAUUGGAAAAUUUAUGAAAUUUCAAAGAACUUGUUAGUAAAAUUACGGUAGAGAAAACGUGAAAGUAGAGGAUAAGAAGAAGACUGAUUUCGAAAAACCAACAGCUAAUCCACAGUCAGCAGAAGAAUGCCUUACCUGACAAGAUAAGUAGGUCUACUUUGUACCACGUGAGCAAUGAAUGGAAUGGUUACACUACAUCCUCACAAUUCCACUGGUAUCUGGGUCCAAUCUCAAGGACAUCAAAAGCCAUGAAAAGAUCACAACUGUGAACAUCUCUCUAUGAACUUGUCUCAUCAUAUGCGUCAAGAGGGAAUAAAAUCUUUAAGCCAAACUAGUAGUUGUGAGGAAAAUAUAAUCAGCAAUUAAUGUUGACACAUAAAUUUUGACUACCCAAUUAGUUAUUUAUCGCAUAGAAAAAUUAAAAAAUCGACCUCGUCCCCUAAAAAAAAUAUUAGUUAAAUUACAUAUAGAUAUUAGGAGCAUUUUUCAUUCAUUAAUAGUAAGUCCACAUAUAAUUACAUUUUGAUUGGACUGGUGCAAGGAGAUUUUGAGCGUAAUCGAGUUAAUUGGACUAAGCCCGUGGGAAUGAGAAAUUCAGCCUAAUCCAUUUAUUUCCUUUGCUCGACCAGACAUCAAAUAUGCAGCACAAGGACUUCAGCACGAAUGAAGCAGCAAAUAUUCGUUAUUGAGAAAUAUAUUCUGAACCUUUUUUUGGGAAAAUUAACUGACUAAUUCUUUUCAUUAUUAAAGAUGCACGUCAUGCUUAAAGUAGGCAAGUUAAUUUUUCUUAGUCAAAACUGGAAGUAAUUGAACACUAUUUGAAAGGAAAGAAACAAAAAUAGAAAAAGAAAAAGGAAGAAAACGGGGAAGAAAGAAAGAAAUUCACGGCCCGAGCAUGAUAGACCAGAGAAUAAUGUAUGCACUCACAAGAGGAAAGUGGAAUUCGGCCAGCCCAAAAGGAGUUCUCGCCAAGUAUAAAGAGAUAACACUGCAACACGUAAAAGAGGAGACAAAGGAGGGAGACAAAAUGUUCGAUAAAUUCACGUUCGCAAUUAACGAGAAGUGUGAGCAAUACAUAAAAGAGAACUCAAGUUUUUUCUGUGCCUCGAAAAGCUAGCCCCUACGCAGUAAGUGUGUCUAUGUUUUGACGUUACGAUUGGGAGAAAACAUGUGCGUUCAAUGACAUUGGAGAUUGAUUUACAUGUCUCAAAGUCAUUAGUUGGAAUUAAAAGUGGACUGUAAAUGCAUGUGAAGAUAUUCGAAAAGUACACUUGUAAUAGGUGGAGACGAUAUUUGGGGCACUCAUGAAAAAAAAUGGAUUGAACGGGCCAAAAUAUUUUAGAUAUUUAUAGCAUAAGUUUUGUCAUAUUGAUGCAUUUCGUUAAACAAUUUUUUUAAUCUUGAGGAGAAGCUUCUAUUGCAUUCAUUUAUAGUUUAAGAACUAUAGAUGGACGUAAAUGAUCAACGGCACAUUUUCUAGGGUCGCAUCUUCCACAUAUUUUCAAAUUUCCACACCUUUAAAAAUAUUUUGGAAAAUGAAUGAAAAAUAGGAGGGAAGUUAGGAAUUCAACAUGAAGCGUUAAAAACUAUUAACUUAAGGAGAGAGAUAAAAGUGACUUAAGCAGAGGGUAAAGACCGGAUAAAACAUGAUAUAGCGUAGAGAAAUCUGGUUUGAGAAAAUUAUGUCGGAAGAGAUUAAUUUUCAGAGUUACUUUCCCAGACGAAUCUCUUUUGAUAAAAGUAAUUCGUCCUGCAGGCAUUUGAAUAACGAAAUCCUAUAUACCACGCUUGAUAUGAUUUUGUCAUUGACUCAUGUACAUUGGCAGCGGGAGCAUGCGACUGUCGGUCGUUAGUUUUCUUUUUCUGUUCUGUUUACUAAUAGAAAAGGCAAGCCAAAUCAAGACAAUGCUGCAGGAUCUCAAAUCUGAAUGAACGCACCUGCAUGCACCUCCCUUGUAUGAAGCUGAGAAUCGGUGGAAAUCACAGCUGGAGCACGUGAGUAUUGCUCCUUAGCUUUCUUUUCCAUUUUCUUUCGUUAAUAUAAAAGUCUAUUUACUUUCAUUAAUAUGAACGGCAAGCCGUGCGGGAUCUCGACUUUUGACCAAAGCACCGGGAGCAAGUGAGUGUUGCACGUGAUUGCAUGUGCGCACGUGAGUAUUUAUUUUGGCUCUUUCGGUUCCGCGCUCCUUCCACUAAAUGCUGCGGAAACUAUGCAUGCAAAGAUUGUUCUUUCAGCGGCAUGCCUCGCAGUGGUUCGAUUAGCACGAAGAGUCUUGGACCGUUGGAUGGCAAGAACUCAGCAUUAUGUGAUUUGCACAAAUAGCCCCGGUCAAUCUUUCUAUGCUUCAACAAUUUUUUUCUAAAUAAUUUGACAACCCAUUCAUAUAUAUAUAUAUUUCCAGAUGCAGAGAAACCCUACCUACUUAGACAAAUUUCCAUUGUAUCAUUCUAAUAAUGGAAGUUUGGUUCAUUCACUCUGAAUAUUUUUCCUUCCAUGCAAGUAAAAGUCUAAGACCUUACUAAUUUCAUCAUUGCUACUUUGAACAAACGUUUCUCUUUUCUCUGGAUAAAUUUCUUUUGCCUCGAUUAUAUCCUGGAUUCCAACUAUUUUUUUUUUUUUUAAAGGAGGGAAUUAUCCAUGGAGGACGCACACUAAUUUGUAGAGGCACCAUUAGGAGAAAAGAAUAAACUUUAUGAUGUGAAAAAAAUUACAUUUUAUAUUCUUCCCUAAAUUUUAAUUUGUUUUCUCUUUGCUAUUUAAUCUUUAUUAUAUGUAUACUUGUUUAUUUCUUCCAUAACGAAACAUAUAGCUGCUAAUCUAUCAUCCUUGUGAGACACAAUGCCCACUAUUUUAUCACGUCUCAUUUUUUUUCAUCUGUAAUUUGAGGUAGUACAUUGUUAAGAGACGAAGGAAAACGAAAGGCCCAUGUGUACUCUACUAUCGGUAGAAUAUAUUUUCCACGCCCCGAUUUUACAAUCAAGACGUGCUGCACCCCAAUUUUCAAUCAAAGCACGUUGCAUAAGUAGGAUCCACACACCUUCCGCAUAAUGCUGCAGAAAUUAAUUAUUAUCGAACAACCUUUUCUUUCAUUUUAAGUCCUUAAAAUGGUCCAUAUUUGAAAUACAGUACUCGAAAUUUCGGUAAUUAUUUUUCAGUUUUUUCUAAACGGGCUCAUACUCGCAGCUGAUUUUUCACAAAUGAAUUUAAGUUCAGCAUCAGCAAAAAGACAAGUUGAGUCAAGUGGAAAGUUGAGUUAUAGCACCCAAGGUUUGACUUGAAAUUACCUAUGUAAUCAUUUACUUUAAGCCGUUAGAGUACAGUGUUGAAUAUAAUUUACAUCAUAGCAAUUUAUUUGGUUCGACUUCUAGCUUUUUGUUAACGACGAACACAAAUCAGAUACGUAAUUCACAGGUCAACAAAUUCUCCACUAAUGCAAAGUAUCAAGCUAGACACAAGUCUCAUAUACGAAACAGUUUAUGCUUGCAAAUAUGGCGGACCAAACACACGUUGUGUACCUAGUCUCCAUCUACUAAUUUUUACUUUCUAUUCCCUUGCGACUCUCAUAGUCAAACUUUUUUUUUUUUAUAACAAAGAUCACUUAAAAGAUUCAAAAUAUGCAAAUACUAUCACGUAGAUAAUUAUAUAAUUAUAUUUUUAAUUUAACUUAAAGAAUAUACAUAUUUUAAAUCUUUCAAAUGUAAAAAAUCAAUUAUACUUUUAAGUGCAGUCUAAAUUUUUAUCGAAGGGUUGCAUACCAAAAUUAUCUUUUAUUUUGAAAGAAGUAAAGCACCUCAUUAGUCAUUAGAGAAAAAGGCCAAAGCAUGGAGCCACCUCAGCUAGCGCUGUCGGGGACCCGUCUCCUUUUUCAAAAGCCAAAAGAAAUUGCCCCGAACGUCAAACCCGCCCACUCGCCUCGGUCAGGGAGAGCACGGAAACUCGCUCGGACCGCGCGCCACGUGAGCUCGAGGGGGGCAAUUCGGUACAUUCCGAGUGGCCGAAGAUAUCCUCGAGAUGCGAGGUGGGGACCACACAUUGGCUUUGGUUUCUGAGCAGCUGACCGGCGUAGCGGUCGAGCAACGCGAACACGGAGAGGAGGAGCGGCGUGGGUCCGCGUGAAGAGACAACCUAAGCAGAAUCUUUUUUUUUGGUCGAAGCCUAAGCAGAAUCCACACGGCAAAUUUCUACUCUGUUUUCGUGGAUAAAAGGGUCUCGAACAGUUGGACGGCAAUAACUCAGCAUCGUUCGAGCAAGCGCGGGAGAGAGUGUUAAGCGUAGUUAAUCCGAGGUUGAAGGCUGAGAACCGGCAGAGUUCACAGCAGUAGGUGAAUUGUGUUGUUUGAGCACUCUUCAGGUAAUCGAUUGCUCCAUUUUCUUUUGAUGAGUUUCGAUUUGAGUUCUUGGAGACAUUUUUGCAUUCCGAGAUUUGGACUGUGAAAUCUAGACUUUUUUUCUUCAAGGCUCUGCUCGAUCGAUGUCCUAUUUGGUCAAUUAGACUUCAUUUCUGUUUGAAUUUAGCUACGAAAUGAGCUCUGACAGACAUUUCGGCAAUUCCCGAAUCCGGGAUUCCGUAUUUCUCUUUGUUUUCUGCUUUUCUUCGAGGCUCUGCUCCAUCGAUCUCUUCCAUUCCCUUUAUAGGUGAUUACAAAGGCGGAGCCUAAAAGAUUCGAUAUGUGGGGACAUUCAGAAGAUCCGAAUUGUGGGGCUUCUUCCUCAUCGACUUCACCGCAUGUAGGUGAUUAUGAAGGCAGAACCAAAAAGAUGAAAAGAAAUGACUACGAAGUGUUCUUGAGCUUUAGAGGGAAGGAUACUCGUAAUGGCUUCACCGAUUAUCUAUAUACUAGUCUUGUUGAUGCAGGAAUUCAUGUGUUCAGAGAUGACAAUGAGCUUUGUGUUGGUGAGGAGAUUGGACCGGAACUUUUCCGCAGUAUUACACAAUCUAAGAUCUCCAUCCCGAUUAUCUCAGAGGACUAUGCAUCCAGCAAAUGGUGCCUUCGCGAGUUGGCUCUUAUGUUGAAUUGCAAGAGAAACAAAGGGCAAAUGGUGUUACCCAUAUUUUACAAAGUGGAACCUUGGCAAGUGAAGCAUCUCACAGGGAGAUUUGGAGAUGCUAUCAAUACACAUAAAAAGAAUUUGGAAGAAAAGAUUGUGAAGGAAUGGGAAGAAGCACUCAAAGAAGUCACUUCCUUGAAAGGAUUGGAAUCGGAGAAAAUUGAUAAUGGGUACAUUAUUCUCCACCACAACAUUGUUUACUUUCUCAUAACUAGAUCUUACUUGAAAAAUAAUACAAAUAUUUCCAUCAUAUAUUGAAAUUUUUAUUGUUGUUCGACAGGCGUGAAGGAACAUUGGUUAAAAUAGUUGUCAGAAAAGUUAUGAGUAACUUAAAGGAAUUGUUUUUGCUAAAUGUUCCCAAACAGUUGGUGGGAAUUGAUGAUCGUGUGGAGCGUAUUAUGCACUUCAUAAAUGCUAAAUUUAGUGAUACAAGUAUUAUCGGAAUCUAUGGAAUGGGCGGCAUCGGUAAGACAACCCUUGCGAAGGUGUUGUACAACAAGCUUUUGAGUCAUUAUGAGUCUCAUAGCUUUGUGGCAGAUAUUCGAGAAAAAUUUAAGCUCAAGGGUCUUGAAUGCAUACAAAAGCAGCUCAUUUAUGACAUUAGUGGAGGCUUAUGUGAUGUGUCUAAUGUCGAUCACGGAAUCAAUAUCCUUAAAUCUCGAUGUAUAAAUAAGAAAGUUCUCAUUCUUCUUGAUGACAUGGAUGAUAAUACUCCCUUGAAUGCUUUGGUUGAAGACGGUAGUUGGUUUAAAGCUGGAAGUACGGUCAUCAUCACCACUAGAGACAAGAGUAUUCUUGACAAGGUUGGGGUAAGAUACAAGUAUCAACUCAAUGAGUUGCUUUCAUAUCAAUCAUUGGUUUUAUUUAGCAGACAUGCAUUUCGAACGGAUUCUCCUCCGAGUGAUUAUUGGGUUAUCUCUCGUGAUAUCGUAUCUACUACUGGGGGGCUUCCUUUAGCUCUUGAAGUUAUUGGUUCAUUCUUAUGUGGAAAGACAAAAGAAGCAUGGAAAGCUACAUCAAAAAAAUUAGAGAAAGUGCCUAAUAAGAAAGUGCAAGAGAAGUUGAGAAUAAGUUACGACGCAUUAGAUUUUGAGGACCAGCAGAUUUUUUUGGAUAUUGCAUGUUUUUUUGUCGGAUCAUCUAUACAAAAUCCGACUUACAUGUGGGAUGCCUGUGGUUUUUUCCCGGGAAAGGGGAUUGAAGUAUUGAAUCUUAUGUCCCUAAUUAAAAUUACUGAUGAUGGCGAGCUAAUGAUGCAUGAUCAGCUGAGAGAUCUUGGAAGGGAAAUUGUUCGUCAAGAAAAUCUAAAGAAGCCUCAAAAGCGUAGCAGAUUGUGGGAAUAUGAGGAUGGCGUAGAUGUGCUUCUCAGCAACAAGGUAAGAGUUUUUCUCCGCUUGUCUUAAUCAUCGAAUGUGAGCACAUCUUCUCUUUCUUGUUUAAGAUAAUAAUUAUAGUCAAUCACGAGUCCCCAAAACUGGCUGCGUCUACUGGCAAGAGGGCACUUUUAAUUAAUUGCUCUUCUUGUCGGACUUUAGGACAAAAUUGAAGAGCAAUUUCUUGGUUAUUAAUAACUAAUAUUUUUAACUAGUAAGAUUGUGAUGAGGAUACUCUCCUUUUGCUAGCUUCAAUAAAAAAACAAAGCUACAAAUUAAUGUUCGAUAGAGCACUUUUAAAGAAAAUCGAAUAUCUAUAAAUUGUUGGGGCCAUGCUUUCCCACAUUUUUGUUUGGUGCACAGGUUGAUGUUUGAAUUCUUAUAUUGAUUUCUUUUGAGGUAUUUUCUUUCUUUUUUCUUUUAACGAGUACCGACUUCUUAAGAGUUUGCUACGAUGAAUGAGACCAUUCAUUAGUGAUGAUUAGCUAUCCCGAUUCUUGAAUUUUUCAAGUUGGGUAAAGUAUAGAUUUAGUCCCUCAAGUAAUACUAUUUGUAAGAUUUAAUCCCCUUUCUAUUUUUUGCUCAAUACCAUUCUCCAUCUUUCACAGUUUGUGCGAUCAAGUCCUUUGUAGUCAACCGUUAAUGAACAUGGUCAAUUUGUUGAUGUGACUUUCAUAUACUAUAAAUAAUAUGGUUAUAAUUAAUAUAAAUCCUAGUUAUAAUUAGAAAUCUAACAUUAAUAGAGUGACUUGGAAAAAAAGACAUGAAUUUUGGGAAUAACUAUUACUACAAGUAAAUAUUGUAAUAGACUAUAAUAGCCAUUACGGUAAUGAAACGUGCUCUAAUAAUCUAAAUGCAUGUAAUAAUACAUUGCUACAUAAUGUGUAUGUAACUAAGGGUUAGUAAAUGUGUACAACUAAACGGUAUAUAUUAUGCGGUAAGAUAUUUAGUUCAAAGUAAGACGUUAGGAAAAAAAAAGUAGAAAUUUUCCAAUAAACGGUAUAUAUUAUGUAUUCCCAAAAAAAUAUAUAUUAAUAAAGAUAUGUUCUCAAUACCAUAAUUAUAAAAAUUUUAAUGUUGAAGUAUUAUCUAAACUAAAUUUUUUGACAUGAUACUUGUUAAACUUGGAAGUUAAAUAUUUCAACCAUACAUACAUGACCUUUUUCUUUAUAUAGAGGAUGAGUGAUGAAGUGACUUUUCAGUUACAACAUUUUUAAAUAUUUAUAGAAGAAUGAUAAUUAAUAAUAAAACUAAACAAUUUCACAACUGUAUGUUGGCACAGAAGUGAUAUUAACAUAAUAUAAUUAUUCUUCAUGUCCAAUCUAUCUCUUAGCAAGAUCUUAUUAAUUUAUGGGCAAAAUUGAUCAUAAAAUUAGAUGACUGUUAUUUCUUUGUAACAAAAUCAACAUGAAAUGAAAAGUUAGCAUCAAACAUAUAUAGUAAUAAAAAGAGAAGUGAAAAUCAUGCAUAUAACUUGUUGAGGAAACACAUGAUAAGAAAGGAAUGCAAAACAUCUGUGUACUUCUUGGGAUGGAAUUCUCAUUUUCAUUUUGCUAUCGAGAAUUGUAAACAAGGUACGAAAGAAAAAGAGGGGAAUUCUACAAUUGAGAUUCUUUAGUAUUGAUACAUGCUUUGACGGUAAAUUUGAUAUAUGCAUUUGAAGUUUUGAACUGUAAGAGACAUGUUGUUUCACAUAUAAAGGAUAUGAGUUAGUUUGUUAUUUCCCAUAUAAAGGGCAUGGAAUUUUGAAGUGAUGUUUGCAUGAAAAGAGGCCUUCUAUAUUAAUUUUGAAAGGAUGGGACUUUGGGGAAUUUAAAAGCUGCAAAUUGUGAAGGGAAUAAUUGGAAGAGGAAAAGUUUGGGAAGACCCUCUUGAGGUUCACAUUUUUACAUUGAUUACCACAACCUGUCAUGUCAUGAAGUCGAAAGUGAGAAGCUUAAAUCAUGAUAGUACGACAACAAAUUUGAAAUCAAUACAUUUUUUCUCAUAUAUAGUUGCUUUCAACCCAUUAUUCAAAACAACAAUUUACAAUGUUGCCUAAUUGCAGGGCACUAGUAAAAUUGAGGCCCUUCGUCUUGACUUAGAUAAUGGGAAAGGAAGUUACAUGGCUGAAACAUUUAAAGAAUUGACCAAAUUGAGGAUACUUCAACUGGAAGGUGUGAAUCUCACUGGACAUUUUCAGAACUUGUUUCCUCAACUAAGAUUGCUUGAGUGGAUGGAUCAUCAACCGGAUUUUGAAUUGACCAACUUUCACCUGAAGAAAUUAGUCGUGCUCGAUUUGUCGUGGAGCAAGAUUUCAGAGAACUGGGGAGGAUGGAGUCAACUAAAGGUAAAAUGUAAAGAAGGCAUAUGUCUUAUAAAUAAUCACGUGUUGUCGAUGGACCCAAUUGCACCAAGUUAUACUUAAUUUCUUCUGAAAAUAUAUAUUAUGGAUUUUCUUCUAAGCAUAAGAGGAAUUCAUAGGCACCUAAAUAUGUCAAAAGCUUCUACCCCUUAAUAUUUUAGCAAACUAGUCAUGCUUAACAUCAGACCUACUAAUAAAAACUUUUUAAAUCGUAUUAAUUAACAUCUAUCAAAAAUAUAAUUACAAUAAUGUGCCCAUGUUAAUUUUAAUCUAAAUGGUUUAUGGCUUCUAGUUAAUUUCUCCCCAUGCAAAAGUAUGUAUUUUUAGCAAUUCUUGUUAUAUGUAUGUAUGUAUCUUCUUUCAUAAAAAUGCAAAGACCCUCACAGUGACUUGUGUUUUACAUACAUACUAAAAUUCUAAAUUCAUUGUUACUUUUAAAGUAAUGGAAAUAAUUUGUGAACUACUUUGACUUGUUGCGCACAAUAAUUAUUCAUUAUUAUUGUUGAUUGUUGAAGUCACCGUAUAACACAUUUAUAAAGUACUAAUGUCAUAUGAGUAAUACAACACUUUUUUAUGUCUCGUACAUAUAGCAUUUAAAAAUUGUUUUUCAUAAUUAAAGUAGCCAUUUCUCUUUAAUUUCAUACUAAUUGAAGGAAAACAUGGCACCAAAUGAAUGCAUCUCAUUUCUUCCAUUUGACUUUGUCAUAUGUAAUUUGAUAAUAAAAUUUGUGUAUCUCUAUUCAAUAAAUAACAACAUAGUCAUAACUUUGAAAAACUAAACAUGACAUUUUCUAAGAAAUUUUAUUUGCGAAAAAUUGUAGAUAGCACUCAUACAUCCCUAACAUUCUCUUUGCAAUGAUAUGCUUAAAAACAUUUAUAUGCUAGCUUGGCGAAUACACUAUUGAAAAGAAACAUUUAAAAUUAAAUUAAAUAGCUGUGUAAAAAUAGGGAGAAUGGGAUUAUUUUUUUUGUCCAAUCUCAAAGUGGUAACCUCUUUCUUUCAGAUAGCAACCGAGCUCAAGGUUCUCAACCUUACGAAUUGUGCUUUAAGAACAACUCCCGACUUGUCCGCUUUCAAGAGUUUGGAGAUUUUGAUACUUGAAGCUUGUGAGGAUCUAGAAGAGAUUCAUCCUUCUAUCGAGGACAUCGAGACCCUUGUCUCCUUGAAUGUCAGUAAUUGUUGGGAGCUGAAGAAGCUACCACUAGGAGUAGGUAGAAUGGAAAAUUUGAGCAAGCUUCUCAUAGAUAACACUAAUAUACGAGAGAUUCCUAUUUCAAGAGGUUGUUUGACAAAGCUGGAGACUCUACAUGCCUCAGAUUGUAGACGGCUUGCUCAACUUCCAGAAUCCUGGGGCUCCCUUAUGUCAUUAACUCAACUAGACCUAAAAAGAACAGAAAUUGAGGAAUUACCCGAAUCCAUUGGAUCAUUAAAGAAGCUCAAGACUCUAAAUACCUCUUAUUGUGCAUUGUUAACUUGCCUACCCAACUCAAUAGGCGAUUUAGCAUCUCUAUGUUGCCUUGACCUAAGAAAUUGCCAAAAGCUUGCUCAACUUCCAAACUCCAUAGGCUCCCUCGUGUCUCUAUUGCAAUUGUUGUUGUCGAGAUGCUACUCGUUGAGACAAAUCCCAGGCUCGAUUGGAAAGUUGACAUCAUUGACUGAGCUGCAUUUGCAAUCUACGGCCAUUGAAGAAUUACCUAAAUCUAUUGGUUCAUUGAAGGAGCUCAAGACUCUAGAUGCCUCUUAUUGCACAUCGUUAGCCCGCAUACCCAACUCAAUAGGCAAGUCACUAUCUUUGUCUCGCCUUGACCUAACAGGAUGCCAUAAACUUGCUCAACUUCCAGACUUUAUAGGCUCCCUUGUAUCUCUACAACAGUUGUUAUUGUCGGGAUGCCACUUGUUGAGACAAAUCCCAAACUCGAUUGGAAAGUUGACAUCAUUGACAGAGCCGCAUUUGAAAUCUACGGCCAUUGAAGAAUUACCUGAAUCCAUUGGUUCUUUGAAGGAGCUCAAGACUCUAGAUGCCUCUUAUUGUGCAUCGUUAGCCCGCAUACCCAACUCAAUAGGCAAUUCAAUAUCUCUGUCUCACAUUGACCUAACAGGAUGUCAUAAACUUGCUCAACUUCCAGACUCUAUAGGCUCCCUCAUGUCUCUACAGUGGUUGUCAUUGUCAGGAUGCCACUCAUUGAGACAAAUCCCAUACUCGAUUGAAAAGUUGACAUCACUGACUGAGCUACAUUUGAAAUUUAAAGUUAUUGAAAGAUUACCUAAAUCCAUUAGUCUUUUUAAGGAGCUCAAGACUCUAGAUGGCUCUUAUCAUGCAUCGUUAGCCUAUAGACCCACUUCAAUAGGCAAUUCAACGUCUCCGUCUUGUCUUGUCCUAACAGAAUGUCAUAAGAUUGCUCAACUUCCAGACUUUAUAGGCUCCCUUGUAUCUCUACAACGGUUGUUAUUGUCAGGAUGCCACUCGUUGAGACAAAUCCCAGACUCGAUCGGAAAGUUGACAUCAUUAACUAAGCUGCAUUUGAAAUCUACGGCCAUUGAAGAAUUACCUGAAUCCAUUGGUUCUUUGAAGGAGCUCAAGACUCUAGAUGUCUCUUAUUGCAAAUUGUUAGCCUGCAUACCCAACUCAAUAGGCAAUUCAACAUCUCUGUCUCGCCUUGACCUAACGGAAUGCCAUAAACUUGCUCAACUUCCAGACUCUAUAGGCUCCCUCGUGUCUC